CCUACGGGAGGCAGCAGUGAGGAAUAUUGGUCAAUGGACGAGAGUCUGAACCAGCCAAGUAGCGUGAAGGAUGACUGCCCUCUGGGUUGUAAACUUCUUUUAUAAAGGAAUAAAACGAGGCACGUGUGCCUUUUUGCAUGUACUUUAUGAAUAAGGAACGGCUAACUCCGUGCCAGCAGCCGCGGUAAUACGGAGGAUCCGAGCGUUAUGCGGAUUUAUUGGGUUUAAAGGGAGCGUAGAUGGGUUGUUAAGUCAGUUGUGAAAGGUUGCGGCUCAACCGUAAAACUGCACUUGAGACUGGCAAUCUUGAGUGCAGUAGAGGUAAGCGGAAUUCGUGGUGUAGCAGUGAAAUGCGUAGAUAUCACGAGGAACACCGAUUGCGAAGGCAGCUUACUAAACUGUGACUGACAUUGAGGCUCGAAAGUGUGGGUAGCAAACAGGAUUAGAUACCCUUGUAGUC
This 460-nucleotide ribosomal RNA is filed under the name uncultured bacterium. Its description in RNAcentral is "partial 16S ribosomal RNA". It matches the Rfam family "Bacterial small subunit ribosomal RNA", at positions 338 to 795 of the family's 1533-position model. The record is from RNAcentral.